This 253-nucleotide ribosomal RNA is filed under the name uncultured bacterium. RNAcentral describes it as "partial 16S ribosomal RNA". It matches the Rfam family "Bacterial small subunit ribosomal RNA", at positions 524 to 776 of the family's 1533-position model. The record is from RNAcentral.
UACAGAGGUGGCAAGCGUUGUUCGGAAUUACUGGGCGUAAAGGGCGAGUAGGUGGCCAUCUAAGUCAGACGUGAAAUCCUCCGGCUUAACCUGGGAACUGCGUCUGAUACUGGACGGCUUGAGUAUGGGAGAGGAACGUAGAAUUCCAGGUGUAGCGGUGAAAUGCGUAGAUAUCUGGAGGAAUACCGGUGGCGAAGGCGGCGUUCUGGACCAUUACUGACACUGAAUCGCGAAAGCUAGGGGAGCAAACGGG